GCGCGAAUGGCUCAGUGGUAGAGCAUCGCCUUGCCAAGGCGAGGGUCGCGAGUUCGAAUCUCGUUUCGCGCUUCA
RNAcentral lists this transfer RNA (75 nucleotides) under Firmicutes bacterium HGW-Firmicutes-2. Its description in RNAcentral is "tRNA-Gly". It matches the Rfam family "tRNA". From Rfam's summary of the family: Transfer RNA (tRNA) molecules are approximately 80 nucleotides in length. Lineage: Bacteria; Bacillati; Bacillota. The record is from RNAcentral. RNAcentral also lists the same sequence under 3 other names.